CCUACGGGUGGCAGCAGUGGGGAAUAUUGCACAAUGGGGGAAACCCUGAUGCAGCGACGCCGCGUGAGUGAAGAAGUAAUUCGUUACGUAAAGCUCUAUCAGCAGGGAAGAAACACUGACCUUACGGUCAGCAGACGGUACCUGAGUAAGAAGCCCCGGCUAACUACGUGCCAGCAGCCGCGGUAAUACGUCGGGGGCAAGCGUUAUCCGGAUUUACUGGGUGGGAAGGGAGCGUAGACGGUGCGCCAAGUCUGGAGUGAAAUGCCGGAGCUUAACUGCGUAACUGCUUUGGAAACUGGCGAACUAGAGCGCGGGAGGGGUAAGCGGAAUUCCUAGUGUAGCGGUGAAAUGCGUAGAUAUUAGGAGGAACACCGGUGGCGAAGGCGGCUUACUGGACCGUAACUGACGUUGAGGCUCGAAAGCGUGGGGAGCAAACAGGAUUAGAUACCCGUGUAGUC
This 458-nucleotide ribosomal RNA is filed under the name uncultured bacterium. RNAcentral's name for it is "partial 16S ribosomal RNA". It matches the Rfam family "Bacterial small subunit ribosomal RNA", at positions 338 to 795 of the family's 1533-position model. The record is from RNAcentral.